RNAcentral lists this long non-coding RNA (437 nucleotides) under Bos taurus (domestic cattle). Its description in RNAcentral is "long non-coding RNA NONBTAT010653". The record is from RNAcentral. Lineage: Eukaryota; Metazoa; Chordata; Mammalia; Artiodactyla; Bovidae.
UUAUGAUUUUGUUACAAGAAAUAUAGAAUGCAUAGAAAUAAUACACAAUAGUAUCAGCCAUUAUCAAGCUGUUAAGCAUAUUUCAAGGACAUCUAAAAAAACAGUAAGGCAAAAUUUCCUUUUUCUUUUUUAAAUUGUAAGGUUACAGGACUAAAAAUAUAUUUAGAAUAACUGGAAUCCUAAAAUCUUCUACUUGAUAACUAAUAAUAAAUUAUUUAAUAGGAAAACUCUAUGUUUCAGUAUAGAAAAUUUAUCUCCUAACUUACUGUGCCAAAUCAUCCAAAAAACUUCAUUUUUUUUCUAAAAGAUAUACAUGUGAUCUGAUAUUUACUAUUAAAAAGAUAUAAAUGUGUAAAAAAAACUGGAUUUCUAACUUCUUCAUUUUAGAAGACAGGAGGAACCAGUCAUAAAUGAAUAUAAGUAACACUGUCCUAACG